CGGGUGCGUAACGCGUAUGCAACCUACCUUUUACAGGGGAAUAGCCCAAAGAAAUUUGGAAUAAUACCCCAUAAGAUCUUUAAUUGGCAUCAAUCAAAGAAGAAAACUCCGGUGGUAAAAGAUGGGCAUGCGUCCUAUUAGUUAGUUGGUAAGGUAACGGCUUACCAAGACUUCGAUAGGUAGGGGUCCUGAGAGGGAGAUCCCCCACACUGGUACUGAGACACGGACCAGACUCCUACGGGAGGCAGCAGUGAGGAAUAUUGGACAAUGGAGGCAACUCUGAUCCAGCCAUGCCGCGUGCAGGAAGACUGCCCUAUGGGUUGUAAACUGCUUUUAUACAGGAAGAAUUGCAUCUACGUGUAGUUGCUUGACGGUACUGUACGAAUAAGGAUC
This 393-nucleotide ribosomal RNA is filed under the name uncultured Flavobacteriaceae bacterium. RNAcentral's name for it is "bacterial SSU rRNA". It matches the Rfam family "Bacterial small subunit ribosomal RNA", at positions 103 to 494 of the family's 1533-position model. Lineage: Bacteria; Pseudomonadati; Bacteroidota; Flavobacteriia; Flavobacteriales; Flavobacteriaceae. The record is from RNAcentral.